This 520-nucleotide ribosomal RNA is filed under the name Cladosporium sp. 5 SG-2017. RNAcentral describes it as "eukaryotic LSU rRNA". It matches the Rfam family "Eukaryotic large subunit ribosomal RNA", at positions 115 to 656 of the family's 3401-position model. Lineage: Eukaryota; Fungi; Ascomycota; Dothideomycetes; Cladosporiales; Cladosporiaceae. The record is from RNAcentral.
UUGAAAUCUGGCGUCUUCGACGUCCGAGUUGUAAUUUGUAGAGGAUGCUUCUGAGUAACCACCGACCUAAGUUCCUUGGAACAGGACGUCAUAGAGGGUGAGAAUCCCGUAUGCGGUCGGAAAGGUGCUCUACACGUAGCUCCUUCGACGAGUCGAGUUGUUUGGGAAUGCAGCUCUAAAUGGGAGGUAAAUUUCUUCUAAAGCUAAAUAUUGGCCAGAGACCGAUAGCGCACAAGUAGAGUGAUCGAAAGAUGAAAAGCACUUUGGAAAGAGAGUUAAAAAGCACGUGAAAUUGUUAAAAGGGAAGGGAUUGCAACCAGACUUGCUCGCGGUGUUCCGCCGGUCUUCUGACCGGUCUACUCGCCGCGUUGCAGGCCAGCAUCGUCUGGUGCCGCUGGAUAAGACUUGAGGAAUGUAGCUCCCUCGGGAGUGUUAUAGCCUCUUGUGAUGCAGCGAGCGCCGGGCGAGGUCCGCGCUUCGGCUAGGAUGCUGGCGUAAUGGUCGUAAUCCGCCCGUCUUG